AGCCCGGUAGUGUAGGGGCCAAGCAUCCAGGACUCUGAAUCCUGGGACGGCGGUUCGAAUCCGCCCCGGGCUACCA
RNAcentral lists this transfer RNA (76 nucleotides) under Candidatus Heimdallarchaeota archaeon. RNAcentral's name for it is "tRNA-Gln". It matches the Rfam family "tRNA". From Rfam's summary of the family: Transfer RNA (tRNA) molecules are approximately 80 nucleotides in length. Lineage: Archaea; Promethearchaeati; Candidatus Heimdallarchaeota. The record is from RNAcentral. RNAcentral also lists the same sequence under 2 other names.